GCAAUGUGGCUUGCUGUUGGGCAAACCCUCCUAGGGUCGUGAUUCACCCAUUGGAAGAGUUGCACGGUUGCGUCAAAGGAAAGCCACUGACUACCACCAUGACUGCUCCUGGGUAACGCACGCCUGGGAGUAACCGUUUUUUCCUAAGGCAAAACCUCAGUUGACUAGGUUGGUGCCAGUUUGGCACUUUGAAUAAACUAAGCGGACUUUGGGUUG
Sphaerodactylus townsendi is the source of this 216-nucleotide long non-coding RNA. RefSeq lists it as uncharacterized. The transcript is spliced from 3 exons. The record is from RefSeq and is a predicted model, not a curated record. NCBI's taxonomy places the organism in Eukaryota, Metazoa, Chordata, Lepidosauria, Squamata, Sphaerodactylidae.